This 86-nucleotide transfer RNA is filed under the name Kofleriaceae bacterium. RNAcentral describes it as "tRNA-Ser". It matches the Rfam family "tRNA". From Rfam's summary of the family: Transfer RNA (tRNA) molecules are approximately 80 nucleotides in length. The record is from RNAcentral. Lineage: Bacteria; Pseudomonadati; Myxococcota; Haliangiales; Kofleriaceae.
GGAGAGGUGUCCGAGUGGUCGAAGGUGACUGAUUCGAAAUCAGUUAGGCGCAAGCCUCGAGGGUUCGAAUCCCUCCCUCUCCCCCA